GAGAGUCAAAUGAAUUGAAAGAUUCAUGUUUGGUUCAGGAAGGGAGUAUGGAAGUUUUGAAAUGAAUGGAAAGAUAAUCUACUUUCAU
Eucalyptus grandis is the source of this 88-nucleotide non-coding RNA. NCBI's taxonomy places the organism in Eukaryota, Viridiplantae, Streptophyta, Magnoliopsida, Myrtales, Myrtaceae. The record is from Rfam.